GGAAGAAAAAGAAUCGUCGUGGUCCAUUAAACGUGCGAGGCGGGAAUUUGGGGCGCGGGAGUCUGCCGGACGACGCGUUUCUGUCCGAACGGCCGGACCAGACGAGCCCCCCCCCCCCACCUUGCCUCCCCUGCGGUUCUCGUUCCUUCGGGUGUCUUAUAGAGCCUUCCUGACCCCGUUGGCGGUGUUGUUGCGUCGCGGUUAAGUUUUGUGUUUAUUUUGCACUUGAAUCCCUUUUUUCAGCUCUCUGUGAAAUAAAACCUAGAAAAUACAGAAUAUGCAAAACUCGUGAAAAUUGUCAGAUUAAACCCUAGACUAAUGUGUUUUCAUGUAUUUUCUUGUGUCUAAAGUUCUAAUAAAUAUUGACGUUAUUGACCGUCAAUAAUGAAGAAUGCUCAUAUAAAAACUAUUUUUUUAUCUAAUACUACAUAAAAUAAUUUAGCCACAGUUAAUAAAUUUAUACAGUCGGUUUUGGUAACCAUAUCUACCCAGGGGCCAUUAGAAAUAUA
This 509-nucleotide long non-coding RNA is filed under the name Sorghum bicolor (sorghum). Its description in RNAcentral is "long non-coding RNA (SBIC_LNC014655)". Lineage: Eukaryota; Viridiplantae; Streptophyta; Magnoliopsida; Poales; Poaceae. The record is from RNAcentral.